GACCGGAGAAAUUUAUUAAUUUAGAGAGUUAUUAAUUUAUCGAUAAAUUAAUAAUUAUUAAUUUAAAGAGUUUUUAAGUAAUUAUACUGUACAUACCAAACAAAAAGGCAAAUUAGUCUAUGUCUCUUAGAAUUACGUUGCACCAAAUCUUGAGACUCAAUGUAAAUUAAUAAAUAUUGUAUUCAUAUCCAUUGGAAAUAUGACUUUUGACUUUUGAAGUGUAUAGUAAAU
This 231-nucleotide long non-coding RNA is filed under the name Medicago truncatula (barrel medic). RNAcentral describes it as "long non-coding RNA (MTRU_LNC004870)". The record is from RNAcentral. Lineage: Eukaryota; Viridiplantae; Streptophyta; Magnoliopsida; Fabales; Fabaceae.